AUUGAACGCUGGCGGUAGGCCUAACACAUGCAAGUCGAACGGCAGCACAGAAAGAGCUUGCUCUUACGGGUGGCGAGUGGCGGACGGGUGAGGAAUACAUCGGAAGCUACUUUUUCGUGGGGGAUAACGUAGGGAAACUUACGCUAAUACCGCAUACGACCUACGGGUGAAAGCAUGGGAUCUUCGGACCUUGCGCGAUUGAAUGAGCCGAUGUCGGAUUAGCUAGUUGGCGGGGUAAAGGCCCACCAAGGCGACGAUCCGUAGCUGGUCUGAGAGGAUGAUCAGCCACACUGGAACUGAGACACGGUCCAGACUCCUACGGGAGGCAGCAGUGGGGAAUAUUGGACAAUGGGCUCAAUCCUGAUCCAGCCAUACCGCGUGGGUGAAGAAGGCCUUCGGAUUGUAAAGCCCUUUUGUUGGGAAAGAAAAGCAGCAGGUUAAUACCCCGCUGUUCUGACGGUACCAAAAGAAUAAGCACCGGCUAACUUCGUG
RNAcentral lists this ribosomal RNA (492 nucleotides) under uncultured bacterium. RNAcentral's name for it is "partial 16S ribosomal RNA". It matches the Rfam family "Bacterial small subunit ribosomal RNA", at positions 30 to 507 of the family's 1533-position model. The record is from RNAcentral.